This 484-nucleotide ribosomal RNA is filed under the name uncultured bacterium. RNAcentral's name for it is "partial 16S ribosomal RNA". It matches the Rfam family "Bacterial small subunit ribosomal RNA", at positions 30 to 507 of the family's 1533-position model. The record is from RNAcentral.
AUUGAACGCUGGCGGCAGGCCUAACACAUGCAAGUCGAGCGGAUGAAGGGAGCUUGCUCCUGGAUUCAGCGGCGGACGGGUGAGUAAUGCCUAGGAAUCUGCCUGGUAGUGGGGGAUAACGUCCGGAAACGGGCGCUAAUACCGCAUACGUCCUGAGGGUGAAAGUGGGGGAUCUUCGGACCUCACGCUAUCAGAUGAGCCUAGGUCGGAUUAGCUAGUUGGUGGGGUAAAGGCCUACCAAGGCGACGAUCCGUAACUGGUCUGAGAGGAUGAUCAGUCACACUGGAACUGAGACACGGUCAAGACUCCUACGGGAGGAAGCAGUGGGGAAUAUUGGACAAUGGGCGAAAGCCUGAUCCAGCCAUGCCGCGUGUGUGAAGAAGGUCUUCGGAUUGUAAAGCACUUUAAGUUGGGAGGAAGGGCAGUAAGUUAAUACCUUGCUGGUUUGACGUUACCAACAGAAUAAGCACCGGCUAACUUCGUG